Molecule: unclassified non-coding RNA, 220 nt
Filed under: air metagenome
Description: partial contains small subunit ribosomal RNA, internal transcribed spacer 1, and 5.8S ribosomal RNA
Rfam family: Eukaryotic small subunit ribosomal RNA (bases 1-46)
Source: RNAcentral
AAGUCGUAACAAGGUCUCCGUAGGUGAACCUGCGGAGGGAUCAUUACCGAGCGAGGGCUCCGGCCCGACCUCCAACCCUUUGUGAACCCAUCUCGUUGCUUCGGGGGCGACCCCGCCGGUCCGCCGGCGAGCGCCCCCGGAGACCAACCCACACUGCAUCAUGGCGUCGGAGUCAAAAGUUAAUUAAACAAAACUUUCAACAACGGAUCUCUUGGUUCUG